GACGAACGCUGGCGGCGUGCCUAAUACAUGCAAGUCGAGCGGACGGAUGGGAGCUUGCUCCCAGACCGUCAGCGGCGGACGGGUGAGUAACACGUGGGCAACCUGCCUGUAAGACUAGGAUAACUCCGGGAAACCGGGGCUAAUACCGGAUAACUCUUUCCCUCACAUGAGGGAAAGCUGAAAGAUGGCAUCUCGCUAUCACUUACAGAUGGGCCCGCGGCGCAUUAGCUAGUUGGUGAGGUAACGGCUCACCAAGGCGACGAUGCGUAGCCGACCUGAGAGGGUGAUCGGCCACACUGGGACUGAGACACGGCCCAGACUCCUACGGGAGGCAGCAGUAGGGAAUCUUCCGCAAUGGACGAAAGUCUGACGGAGCAACGCCGCGUGAGUGAUGAAGGUUUUCGGAUCGUAAAACUCUGUUGUCAGGGAAGAACAAGUACCGGAGUAACUGCCGGUACCUUGACGGUACCUGACCAGAAAGCCACGGCUAACUACGUG
Molecule: ribosomal RNA, 498 nt
Filed under: uncultured bacterium
Lineage: Bacteria
Description: partial 16S ribosomal RNA
Rfam family: Bacterial small subunit ribosomal RNA
Source: RNAcentral